RNAcentral lists this unclassified non-coding RNA (362 nucleotides) under soil metagenome. RNAcentral's name for it is "partial contains 5.8S ribosomal RNA, internal transcribed spacer 2, and large subunit ribosomal RNA". The stretch from base 1 to 120 matches the Rfam family "5.8S ribosomal RNA", at positions 35 to 154 of the family's 154-position model. The record is from RNAcentral.
GAUGAAGAACGUAGCGAAAUGCGAUAAGUAAUGUGAAUUGCAGAAUUCAGUGAAUCAUCGAAUCUUUGAACGCACCUUGCGCUCCUUGGUAUUCCGAGGAGCAUGCCUGUUUGAGUGUCAUUAAUAUAUCAACCUUCUCUUUUUUGAGUUGUUUGGAUGUGGGGGUUUGCUGGCCUCUUAAAUGAUUCAGCUCCCCUGAAAUGCAUUAGCAGAACCACCUGUUCAUUAGCGUGAUAAUUAUCUAUGCUAUUGAAUGUGAGGGCAGUUCAGCUUUCUAACCGUCCUUGGACAAUUCAUCAUUAAUGUGACCUCAAAUCAGGUAGGACUACCCGCUGAACUUAAGCAUAUCAAUAAGCGGAGGA